This 1667-nucleotide non-coding RNA is filed under the name Saccharomyces cerevisiae (brewer's yeast). RNAcentral describes it as "small subunit ribosomal RNA". It matches the Rfam family "Bacterial small subunit ribosomal RNA". The record is from RNAcentral. Lineage: Eukaryota; Fungi; Ascomycota; Saccharomycetes; Saccharomycetales; Saccharomycetaceae.
AUUUAUAAGAAUAUGAUGUUGGUUCAGAUUAAGCGCUAAAUAAGGACAUGACACAUGCGAAUCAUACGUUUAUUAUUGAUAAGAUAAUAAAUAUGUGGUGUAAACGUGAGUAAUUUUAUUAGGAAUUAAUGAACUAUAGAAUAAGCUAAAUACUUAAUAUAUUAUUAUAUAAAAAUAAUUUAUAUAAUAAAAAGGAUAUAUAUAUAAUAUAUAUUUAUCUAUAGUCAAGCCAAUAAUGGUUUAGGUAGUAGGUUUAUUAAGAGUUAAACCUAGCCAACGAUCCAUAAUCGAUAAUGAAAGUUAGAACGAUCACGUUGACUCUGAAAUAUAGUCAAUAUCUAUAAGAUACAGCAGUGAGGAAUAUUGGACAAUGAUCGAAAGAUUGAUCCAGUUACUUAUUAGGAUGAUAUAUAAAAAUAUUUUAUUUUAUUUAGUUCCGGGGCCCGGCCACGGGAGCCGGAACCCCGAAAGGAGAAAUAUUAAAUAUUUAUAAUAAUAAUAAUAAUAAUAUAUAUAUAUAAAUUGAUUAAAAAUAAAAUCCAUAAAUAAUUAAAAUAAUGAUAUUAAUUACCAUAUAUAUUUUUAUAUGGAUAUAUAUAUUAAUAAUAAUAUUAAUUUUAUUAUUAUUAAUAAUAUAUUUUAAUAGUCCUGACUAAUAUUUGUGCCAGCAGUCGCGGUAACACAAAGAGGGCGAGCGUUAAUCAUAAUGGUUUAAAGGAUCCGUAGAAUGAAUUAUAUAUUAUAAUUUAGAGUUAAUAAAAUAUAAUUAAAGAAUUAUAAUAGUAAAGAUGAAAUAAUAAUAAUAAUUAUAAGACUAAUAUAUGUGAAAAUAUUAAUUAAAUAUUAACUGACAUUGAGGGAUUAAAACUAGAGUAGCGAAACGGAUUCGAUACCCGUGUAGUUCUAGUAGUAAACUAUGAAUACAAUUAUUUAUAAUAUAUAUUAUAUAUAAAUAAUAAAUGAAAAUGAAAGUAUUCCACCUGAAGAGUACGUUAGCAAUAAUGAAACUCAAAACAAUAGACGGUUACAGACUUAAGCAGUGGAGCAUGUUAUUUAAUUCGAUAAUCCACGACUAACCUUACCAUAUUUUGAAUAUUAUAAUAAUUAUUAUAAUUAUUAUAUUACAGGCGUUACAUUGUUGUCUUUAGUUCGUGCUGCAAAGUUUUAGAUUAAGUUCAUAAACGAACAAAACUCCAUAUAUAUAAUUUUAAUUAUAUAUAAUUUUAUAUUAUUUAUUAAUAUAAAGAAAGGAAUUAAGACAAAUCAUAAUGAUCCUUAUAAUAUGGGUAAUAGACGUGCUAUAAUAAAAUGAUAAUAAAAUUAUAUAAAAUAUAUUUAAUUAUAUUUAAUUAAUAAUAUAAAACAUUUUAAUUUUUAAUAUAUUUUUUUAUUAUAUAUUAAUAUGAAUUAUAAUCUGAAAUUCGAUUAUAUGAAAAAAGAAUUGCUAGUAAUACGUAAAUUAGUAUGUUACGGUGAAUAUUCUAACUGUUUCGCACUAAUCACUCAUCACGCGUUGAAACAUAUUAUUAUCUUAUUAUUUAUAUAAUAUUUUUUAAUAAAUAUUAAUAAUUAUUAAUUUAUAUUUAUUUAUAUCAGAAAUAAUAUGAAUUAAUGCGAAGUUGAAAUACAGUUACCGUAGGGGAACCUGCGGUGGGCUUAUAAAUAUC